RNAcentral lists this ribosomal RNA (271 nucleotides) under uncultured bacterium. Its description in RNAcentral is "partial 16S ribosomal RNA". It matches the Rfam family "Bacterial small subunit ribosomal RNA", at positions 524 to 794 of the family's 1533-position model. The record is from RNAcentral.
AACGUAGGAGACAAGCGUUAUCCGGAGUUACUGGGCGUAAAGGGCGUGCAGGCGGUUUGGUAAGUCUGGCGUGAAAUCAUUCGGCUUAACCGGGUGAUGUCGUCGGAGACUGCCAGACUAGAGGGUGAUAGAGGCGUGUGGAAUUCCGGGUGUAGUGGUGAAAUGCGUAGAGAUCCGGAGGAACACCAGUGGCGAAGGCGACACGCUGGGUCACACCUGACGCUAAGACGCGACAGCAUGGGGAGCGAACGGGAUUAGAUACCCUUGUAGU